AACGAACGCUGGCGGCAUGCCUAACACAUGCAAGUCGAACGAGACCUUCGGGUCUAGUGGCGCACGGGUGCGUAACGCGUGGGAAUCUGCCCUUUGCUUCGGAAUAACAGUUAGAAAUGACUGCUAAUACCGGAUGAUGUCUUCGGACCAAAGAUUUAUCGGCAAAGGAUGAGCCCGCGUAGGAUUAGGUAGUUGGUGGGGUAAAGGCCUACCAAGCCGACGAUCCUUAGCUGGUCUGAGAGGAUGAUCAGCCACACUGGGACUGAGACACGGCCCAGACUCCUACGGGAGGCAGCAGUGAGGAAUAUUGGACAAUGGGGGAAACCCUGAUCCAGCAAUGCCGCGUGAAUGAAGAAGGCCUUCGGGUUGUAAAAUUCUUUCUACUCGUGAUGAUGAUGACAGUAGCGAGAGAAGAAGCUCCGGCUAACUCUGUG
This 434-nucleotide ribosomal RNA is filed under the name uncultured bacterium. Its description in RNAcentral is "bacterial SSU rRNA". It matches the Rfam family "Bacterial small subunit ribosomal RNA", at positions 29 to 507 of the family's 1533-position model. The record is from RNAcentral.